UUUUCAUGCUGUACAUAAAAUCAUUUUUGACUUGCACACAGGGAUGCUGCUACUUUAUAUAACUUCUACCCUGUACCCUACAGGUAGCAAUAAAGCUGGGUAACUUGCUGCAACAAGCAGAGAGAGGAUAUAGUAGAAAAGAAGAGUGCUGGGGAGGUUCAGCUGUGCCCAUCAGUAGCAUUUUGUAUUUCCUGAGCACGAGACUGGUACCAGAUCUACGGCCUGCCCAAAGACCAGGCUGCUGAGGGAAGGAAGUGGCAUGCUGGGGAGUUCAGAGGUGUUGAAGACAACCCUGACCGUUCCUAAGCACCUCGUGGGAGGACGAGGAGGAGUGGGAAGCAGAGCUGAGCAUCGCUGCCCUGCAGCCCCGGCUGCCAGCGUUACCCCUGCCUGCCCUCCAGCUGCACGGCGCAAAGCCCAUGCAGAACUGCCAUGGCAGCAGGUCCCAGCCCUGUGCUGCCCAGAUAAGAGCAGCGAGACAGAGCCGCUUUAGUGACUGCACUUCAGCUGCUCUGUAACCAGAGAACAGAGCACACAGCACUUUGGAAAUGAAUUGAAACUGCAUAGAAUAGGAGAAGAAAAUCAGAUCUGAGUCCUGCUGAAGUCUUGGGCUCCUUCAACAAUUGGGGAGGUGAGGUUUGUGGUAAUCAGGUCAUGAAGCUGUGGUUGUGGCCGUGCCAUGGGCUGCGUGUAACAGAGCACAAUGAGUAGCACAACCUGGGUCUAGAAAUCAGGGUAUCUUCAUCUCUAGAAGCUGGGCUUUCAUCCCAGAUGUGGAGGGCUCUGAUACACAGGGCUUAAAGAAAAUCAGAAAUGUGGGCCAGGGGAGGGAACUGAACCUGUCCAACAUCUUGUUUCUUACCCGAACUCAAAAAAAAAAAUCACAACAAAAAGAACCACAAAUUCUGGUAUUUUCUUGAAGGAAAGACAGUGAGGGCCUUUAGGAAGACCCCUGGGCUCUGCACCUUGAGUGGGCUGAAAUAUUUCUCUGUAAUUCUUUUUUUUUGUGUGUGUGUGUGUGUGUGUGUGCUGGGGAUGUUCCAGCCCUAGUCUCAGCACAUGGGCUUUUUUUAGGUUCGACUGCAAGGCUCCUAGGGCACGGGUCAGCCAGUGUGAGGGAUCUGCUCCUGACCCUUCAGUCACCUUUUUAUGGAAACAGUCAUUAUGGCCUAAUUGAUAAUCUGGAGGACUGGCAGCAGUUAUCUGUGACAGAUGGCCUCUGCUGGGCAACCUCUGGCUCUGAUAGCUCCAAAAUAUGACACAAGUCUCAGCUUUUCAAGAAAGCCUUUACCAGAUGGGUCUAAAUUAAAGCAUGGCCUUUCCCAUUGCUUUAUAGAUGAUAGCUAAUUAACCACAGAAUGGGUAGCUCUGCUCCUGCUGAGGGCAGGCAGAAGUGGGUGUUUGAUAUCGAAGCGUUUAUGGGUUUGGUUCCAGUACGUCUGUAAGGAGAGAUGAUGAAGCCAUUAGACUAAAUGUCGAUGUGUGUGUUGAGCUGUCCAUUAUUCUGAACGUACCAGAGCUGGCCCAAAACAGGGCACUUCUUGGGAUGUACGUCGUGAAAAAAUGUUUCUUUUCUCUCAUUUUUAUUAUAGUUCUGUAAUGACCAACCCUAUAUCAGCUUGUGUUUCUGUAAUCAGUCCUAUUAGGAGACUACUGCCGAAAUUUGUGGUCACAGCUGAGGAGCACAGAAGAGGCUGAAAUAAAGCUCUCUUCUUGCUUUCCAAGUGCUGCCUGCAUCCAUUUGUUUCUGGCAGUCAUUCCCCACUCAGCAGGCAGGUUUGUUGUCUGACAUUUGAACCUCCAGCUUGUUUAGCAGGGCUCCUCUCAAUCCUGGGUUUGCUUCUCUGAGGAAGCGUUAUCCCCAGGCUCCGGCAGGAUGCUUUAUUCUCUUUUUCUCUUGUGCAUGAGAAUGGCUCCAAGAGAUUGUUCUCCUUCGGGCAGGAAAUCCUGAAAACGCUGGAACUUUUCAAUUAGAUGCAUUGCAAACAGUGCUGAUUGCCAGCCUUCUCUUUCUUCUCUUACAUUAGCUAUAAAAAGCAUUUUCUCAUCCCCUCCCCAAUCAAAUUGAAAAUGGCC
Long non-coding RNA from Cairina moschata (Muscovy duck), 2076 nucleotides. The record is from Ensembl. NCBI's taxonomy places the organism in Eukaryota, Metazoa, Chordata, Aves, Anseriformes, Anatidae.